RNAcentral lists this ribosomal RNA (495 nucleotides) under uncultured eukaryote. Its description in RNAcentral is "bacterial SSU rRNA". It matches the Rfam family "Eukaryotic small subunit ribosomal RNA", at positions 13 to 490 of the family's 1831-position model. The record is from RNAcentral.
CCUGACGGUAGUCGUAUGCUCGUCUCCGAGACUAAGCCAUGCAAGUCCAAGUACACGUCCUUGAACGACGGAAACUGCGAACGGCUCAUUAAAUCAGUUGCGAUCUACUCGGCGUUCCGCGCCGCCGGAUAACCGUAGUAAUUCUAGGGCUAAUACGUGCGAAGCGCCCGAAGCCGCGAGGCGACGGGCGUUCUCGCCGGAUGUAGGAACCGACCCGGGGACCGCCGGGGCAACCCGGCGCCCCCGAGACGGGGCGAACCACGGUGAAAUGACGGAUCGUCGGCCCCGCGCCGGCGACUCGCCGAAUGAGUUUCUGACCUAUCAACUCGAGACGGCGGGGUAGAGGCCCGCCGCGGUAACGACGGGUAACGGGGAAUCAGGGUUCGAUUCCGGAGAGGAGCCCGAGAACGGCUACCACUUCCAAGGAAGGCAGCAGGCGCGCAACUUACCCUAAUCUCGAUUCGAGGAGGUAGUGACAAGAAUACCGAUGCGGGA